This is an RNA transcript of Carlito syrichta (Philippine tarsier), 2259 nucleotides long. It is a transcript of the gene named TATA-binding protein-associated factor 2N, with no coding region annotated. The record is from RefSeq and is a predicted model, not a curated record. The transcript is spliced from 17 exons. NCBI's taxonomy places the organism in Eukaryota, Metazoa, Chordata, Mammalia, Primates, Tarsiidae.
CAGCUCCGGCCGCCGCGCCGCUUGGCUCUCGUAUUCCUUGUUCUCGGCGGGCUCUGCGGGCUCUGCGCCGCGGCCGUUAGUCAUGUCGGAUUCUGGAAGUUAUGGUCAGUCUGGGGGUGAGCAGCAAAGUUAUUCCUCUUAUGGAAAUCAAGGCAACCAAGGCUAUGGACAAACACCACAAAGCUAUUCUGGCUAUGGGCAAACAACAGAUUCCUCAUAUGGACAGAACUACAGCGGUUACUCCAGUUAUGGACAAAGCCAGUCAGGUUAUUCACAGUCCUACGGUGGUUAUGAGAAUCAAAAGCAGAGCUCAUAUGGCCAGCAAUCAUAUAAUAACCAGGGACAACAAAACAUGGAAUCAUCAGGAGGCCAAGGUGGAAGAGCACCUUCCUAUGACCAGUCAGACUAUGGUCAACAAGAUUCAUAUGACCAGCAGUCAGGCUAUGAUCAACAUCCAGGCUCAUAUGACAAGCAGUCAAAUUAUGAUCAGCAGCAUGAUUCCUAUAAUCAAAACCAGCAGUCCUAUCAUUCACAAAGGGAAAAUUACAGCCACCAUACACAAGAUGACCGUCGUGAUGUGAGUAGGUAUGGAGAAGAUAAUAGAGGAUAUGGCGGGUCACAGGGAGGAGGUAGAGGGCGUGGGGGAUAUGACAAGGACGGAAGAGGUCCUAUGACAGGAUCAAGUGGUGGUGACCGCGGUGGCUUCAAAAAUUUUGGUGGUCACAGGGAUUAUGGACCCAGACCAGAUGCUGACUCAGAAUCCGAUAAUUCAGAUAACAACACAAUCUUUGUGCAAGGACUUGGGGAGGGUGUGUCUACAGAUCAAGUGGGGGAGUUCUUUAAACAAAUAGGAAUUAUCAAGACAAACAAGAAGACUGGAAAACCAAUGAUAAAUCUUUACACAGACAAGGACACUGGGAAGCCAAAAGGGGAGGCAACAGUGUCAUUCGAUGACCCUCCUUCAGCUAAGGCAGCCAUUGACUGGUUUGAUGGAAAAGAAUUCCAUGGCAACAUCAUUAAAGUGUCCUUUGCUACCAGAAGACCUGAAUUUAUGAGAGGAGGUGGAAGUGGAGGUGGGCGACGAGGUCGUGGAGGAUAUAGAGGCCGUGGAGGUUUUCAGGGCAGAGGUGGAGACCCCAAAAGUGGAGACUGGGUUUGUCCUAAUCCAUCAUGUGGAAAUAUGAACUUUGCUCGAAGGAAUUCUUGCAAUCAGUGCAAUGAGCCUAGACCAGAGGACUCUCGUCCCUCAGGUGGAGAUUUCCGAGGGAGAGGCUACGGUGGAGAGAGGGGCUACAGAGGUCGUGGGGGCAGAGGUGGAGACCGAGGCGGCUAUGGUGGAGACAGAAGUGGGAGUGGCUAUGGUGGAGACAGAAGUGGCAGUGGUGGCUACGGUGGAGAUAGAAGUGGGGGUGGCUAUGGUGGGGACAGAAGUGGGGGUGGCUAUGCUGGAGACAGAGGCGGCGGUUAUGGUGGGGACAGAGGUGGUGGCUAUGGAGGGGAUCGAGGUGGCUAUGGUGGAGACCGAGGAGGAGGCUAUGGUGGAGACCGAGGAGGUUAUGGUGGAGAUCGAGGAGGCUAUGGAGGAGAUCGAGGAGGUUAUGGAGGAGAUCGAGGGGGCUAUGGAGGAGAUCGAAGUCGGGGGGGCUACGGUGGAGACCGUGGUGGUGGAGGCUACGGUGGAGACCGAAGUGGAGGCUAUGGAGGAGAUAGGAGUGGUGGUGGCUAUGGAGGAGACCGAGGUGGCUAUGGAGGCAAAAUGGGAGGAAGUUUCCCUCUUUAAGGAAGAAAGGAAAGUAUUUUCCUGGGUACCAGAUAUGGUGACUUGGGACAGUAGCUGAGGACUGAGCUGAGGAAAUCCACAGACAGGACCAACGUGCUCCUCAUCUAUAAAUCUCAGUGAAUCCACCAUGUGUGUGAACUCCUUCCUGUGUGACCCACUGCAUUGGUGGUUGAAAGGAUGAAGGGAAGUAAUGACUGUGGACGUGCUGAGGAGACUGUUAAAGGUGAAGUACAACAUCAUGGAGCUGUCUCUGCCCUCCUUGUCCCUCCAGUGUGCAUAGUCUACACUGCUCAGUCAUUACUUAUACACUCUACAGAUUUUACUGAGAAUUGUUGUGAGCCCUGUGAAAGCAUCCUGUUCUAGGCACUGCAGACACAAUAGCAAGUAAAGCAGGCAAAGACUUGCCAUUGGAGCUUGUUUGGGUGUGGGAUUAGGGUGAAGUGGGAGAAGGAGGUAGACAAUAAACAAAUUCACACUUC